UGAGUAACACGUAUCCAACCUGCCGUCUACUCUUGGACAGCCUUCUGAAAGGAAGAUUAAUUACAAGAUGGCAUCAUGAGUCCGCAUGUUCACAUGAUUAAAGGUAUUCCGGUAGACGAUGGGGAUGCGUUCCAUUAGAUAGUAGGCGGGGUAACGGCCCACCUAGUCUUCGAUGGAUAGGGGUUCUGAGAGGAAGGUCCCCCACAUUGGAACUGAGACACGGUCCAA
RNAcentral lists this ribosomal RNA (228 nucleotides) under uncultured bacterium. RNAcentral's name for it is "partial 16S ribosomal RNA". It matches the Rfam family "Bacterial small subunit ribosomal RNA", at positions 107 to 334 of the family's 1533-position model. The record is from RNAcentral.